This 266-nucleotide ribosomal RNA is filed under the name uncultured bacterium. RNAcentral describes it as "partial 16S ribosomal RNA". It matches the Rfam family "Bacterial small subunit ribosomal RNA", at positions 793 to 1055 of the family's 1533-position model. The record is from RNAcentral.
GUCCUAGCCGUAAACGAUGGACACUAGGUGUCGGGAGUGUCGACUCUCCCGGUGCCGAAGCUAACGCAUUAAGUGUCCCGCCUGGUGAGUACGGCCGCAAGGCUAAAACUCAAAGGAAUUGACGGGGGCCCCGCACAAGCAGUGGAGCAUGUGGUUUAAUUCGACGCAACGCGAAGAACCUUACCAAGGCUUGACAUGUACGUGGUAGGAAUCUGAAAGGUGACCGACCCUUCGGGGAGCGUACACAGGUGGUGCAUGGCUGUCGU